UCCGUAGGUGAACCUGCGGAAGGAUCAUUAUCCACACCAAAAAACUAUCCACGUGAAUGUAUUCUUUAUAAGGCUUGUGCUGGGAUGUUCUUCGGGACGACCCGGCUAGCAGAAGGUUUCGUCAAGAAGCCGAUGUACUUUUAAUCCCUUCUUAAAUAACAUACUGAUAAACUUAGCCGUCAGAAAUGAUAGCUUGUAAUAAAAUACAACUUUCAACAGUGGAUGUCUAGGCUCGCACAUCGAUGAAGAACGCUGCGAACUGCGAUACGUAAUGCGAAUUGCAGAAUUCAGUGAGUCAUCGAAAUUUUGAACGCAUAUUGCACUUUCGGGUUAGUCCUGGAAGUAUGUCUGUAUCAGUGUCCGUUAAUACAAAAUUGUUUUGUCUUUGGACGAAGCAGAAUGUGAAGGUCUUGUUUCGACAAGUCCUUUUAAAUGACGGUCCCUGUAUAGCUGUUCAAGUACAUUAUACAAAGGUCUAUAUGAUUCUGAUUUCGAAUGUUUUGUGUUGAAAUUGCACAACUUUUGAAAGAAGGCUAAAUUGCGGUAGUUUUGCUUGUGUUUCGGCACGGGUGAACAACAUAUUGCUUUUUAUGUCGUCUGGAAGAGGUUUGUAAGUUGAAGGCAGAAUGCGGAGUCGGAUAGUAUGGUCUGGUGUGCUUGUGUCUAUAUGGAAGCAAAUUGGGAAACAACAUCCAAUUUGGACCAUGAUAUCAGACAAGACUACCCGCUGAAUUUAAGCAUUUCAAUAAGCGGAGGA
This 757-nucleotide ribosomal RNA is filed under the name Aphanomyces astaci. RNAcentral describes it as "eukaryotic LSU rRNA". The stretch from base 208 to 362 matches the Rfam family "5.8S ribosomal RNA". Lineage: Eukaryota; Oomycota; Saprolegniomycetes; Saprolegniales; Verrucalvaceae. The record is from RNAcentral.